GAUGAACGCUGGCGGCGUGCCUAAUACAUGCAAGUCGAGCGAACGGACGAGAAGCUUGCUUCUCUGAUGUUAGCGGCGGACGGGUGAGUAACACGUGGCUAACCUACCUAUAAGACUGGGAUAACUUCGGGAAACCGGAGCUAAUACCGGAUAAUAUUUUGAACCGCAUGGUUCAAAAGUGAAAGACGGUCUUGCUGUCACUUAUAGAUGGAUCCGCGCUGCAUUAGCUAGUUGGUAAGGUAACGGCUUACCAAGGCAACGAUGCAUAGCCGACCUGAGAGGGUGAUCGGCCACACUGGAACUGAGCCACGGUCCAGACUCCUACGGGAGGCAGCAGUAGGGAAUCUUCCGCAAUGGGCGAAAGCCUGACGGAGCAACGCCGCGUGAGUGAUGAAGGUCUUCGGAUCGUAAAACUCUGUUAUUAGGGAAGAACAUAUGUGUAAGUAACUGUGCACAUCUUGACGGUACCUAAUCAGAAAGCCACGGCUAACUACGUG
Molecule: ribosomal RNA, 497 nt
Filed under: uncultured bacterium
Lineage: Bacteria
Description: partial 16S ribosomal RNA
Rfam family: Bacterial small subunit ribosomal RNA
Source: RNAcentral